This 221-nucleotide unclassified non-coding RNA is filed under the name Neocladophialophora quercina. RNAcentral's name for it is "sequence contains 5.8S rRNA gene". Lineage: Eukaryota; Fungi; Ascomycota. The record is from RNAcentral.
GAACGCACAUUGCGCCUCAUGGUACUCCGUGAGGCAUACCUGUUCGAGCGUCGUUUGACCCUAAGGCCUUGCCUUGCGAUGGCGGAUCUCCGAUGGAGACUGCCGAAAUACAAUGGCACGAGUGUUUGUCUCACGCAGUGAAAUGCCGCAGGACUUGUCACGGAUGCAUAACUCUCCCAUGGUCGACCUCGGAUCAGGUAAGAUUACCCGCUGAACUUAAG